AGAAAGCAGGAACUGAAGCAGAAGC
Molecule: unclassified non-coding RNA, 25 nt
Filed under: Mus musculus (house mouse)
Lineage: Eukaryota; Metazoa; Chordata; Mammalia; Rodentia; Muridae
Description: oocyte_clustered_small_RNA7636
Source: RNAcentral